Long non-coding RNA from Oncorhynchus gorbuscha (pink salmon), 953 nucleotides. RefSeq lists it as uncharacterized. The record is from RefSeq and is a predicted model, not a curated record. The transcript has 3 exons. NCBI's taxonomy places the organism in Eukaryota, Metazoa, Chordata, Actinopteri, Salmoniformes, Salmonidae.
UAGAAGUCGUGACAGCAAACUGAUAUGUGACACAUAUUAAUGCCAAAAUAACUUGCAAAACAGGCAAAGUUGCCUCUGUGUGUAUAUAUAUAUAUAUCAAGUAUGCUUUAUGCGAUAUCUAUAUGUGAUACACCCUUUCCAAAACCUAAAUCUAACAGAGAGAAGUGUAGUUUGUGUAUAAAAAAUUUGUGGACGACUUCAUUCACAGUUGAACACAACAAGCAAGAUAGCUAAUGAAGGACACGUUUGCUCCAAGGAUGUGGAGUUCAAGCCUGUGCCACUGAAAGCCAGAGACGAUGAGGAGUACACGCUGGCCCUGUAACAGGAGAUGACGGAAACCAUGAGUCGACUACCCAACAUCAGGCCUCUGGCUAGGAAAGGAAGUUGAAAAGAAUGUAAAAUCAAAUGAAGAAAGAAAAUGACUAGAGAAGAAGAAAUUGGAGGAGUUGUACAAGGAGGAUUUAGAAGAGGUAACUCUCCCCCUCAUUGUAACAGAAGCACAAUUUGAUCUGAUUCACUUUAGUAGUCAACUUCUAUCACACAAUGUAUUAGAUUUCAAAUAGAUACAAGUUGUUCGCCUGCACACUUCCAUACAAUUACUGUGUUUGGUACUGAGGCAUCUCAGAUAGUUUCUGGGGAUGAUAAAUGGCAUGCAUUUGUAAUGCUGGAAGAUCACGAUGUGAAAUAUGAGGCAUUGGAUUGCUACUUAUGCAUGCACAUAACAUUCACACACACCAAUUCAGUUUAAUGGAGAAAUGCCCAGUUUAACAGCUACCUUUUUGUAGAAAAAUGACAUUGCAAUUUUAAUGAUGAUUUUGGUGUAGUGAGGACAUGGAUGAAGCCUCAUAUUUAACCUCUGACUGCAUGUUAAUGGAUACUGGCUGAAUGUCAUUCUUCCAAAUGUAUGUUUUUCCUGAAAGUUAUGAUCUUUUACCAAAUAGCCAUUGGCUAUA